AAGGACGUGCUAAUCUGCGAUAAGCGUCGGUAAGGUGAUAUGAACCGUUAUAACCGGCGAUUUCCGAAUGGGGAAACCCAGUGUGAUUCGUCACACUAUCAUUAACUGAAUCCAUAGGUUAAUGAGGCGAACCGGGGGAACUGAAACAUCUAAGUACCCCGAGGAAAAGAAAUCAACCGAGAUUCCCCCAGUAGCGGCGAGCGAACGGGGAGCAGCCCAGAGCCUGAAUCAGUGUGUGUGUUAGUGGAAGCGUCUGGAAAGGCGCGCGAUACAGGGUGACAGCCCCGUACACAAAAAUGCACAUGCUGUGAGCUCGAUGAGUAGGGCGGGACACGUGGUAUCCUGUCUGAAUAUGGGGGGACCAUCCUCCAAGGCUAAAUACUCCUGACUGACCGAUAGUGAACCAGUACCGUGAGGGAAAGGCGAAAAGAACCCCGGCGAGGGGAGUGAAAAAGAACCUGAAACCGUGUACGUACAAGCAGUGGGAGCACGCUUAGGCGUGUGACUGCGUACCUUUUGUAUAAUGGGUCAGCGACUUAUAUUCUGUAGCAAGGUUAACCGAAUAGGGGAGCCGAAGGGAAACCGAGUCUUAACUGGGCGUUAAGUUGCAGGGUAUAGACCCGAAACCCGGUGAUCUAGCCAUGGGCAGGUUGAAGGUUGGGUAACACUAACUGGAGGACCGAACCGACUAAUGUUGAAAAAUUAGCGGAUGACUUGUGGCUGGGGGUGAAAGGCCAAUCAAACCGGGAGAUAGCUGGUUCUCCCCGAAAGCUAUUUAGGUAGCGCCUCGUGAAUUCAUCUCCGGGGGUAGAGCACUGUUUCGGCAAGGGGGUCAUCCCGACUUACCAACCCGAUGCAAACUGCGAAUACCGGAGAAUGUUAUCACGGGAGACACACGGCGGGUGCUAACGUCCGUCGUGAAGAGGGAAACAACCCAGACCGCCAGCUAAGGUCCCAAAGUCAUGGUUAAGUGGGAAACGAUGUGGGAAGGCCCAGACAGCCAGGAUGUUGGCUUAGAAGCAGCCAUCAUUUAAAGAAAGCGUAAUAGCUCACUGGUCGAGUCGGCCUGCGCGGAAGAUGUAACGGGGCUAAACCAUGCACCGAAGCUGCGGCAGCGACGCUGAUGCGUUGUUGGGUAGGGGAGCGUUCUGUAAGCCUGUGAAGGUGUGCUGUGAGGCAUGCUGGAGGUAUCAGAAGUGCGAAUGCUGACAUAAGUAACGAUAAAGCGGGUGAAAAGCCCGCUCGCCGGAAGACCAAGGGUUCCUGUCCAACGUUAAUCGGGGCAGGGUGAGUCGACCCCUAAGGCGAGGCCGAAAGGCGUAGUCGAUGGGAAACAGGUUAAUAUUCCUGUACUUGGUGUUACUGCGAAGGGGGGACGGAGAAGGCUAUGUUGGCCGGGCGACGGUUGUCCCGGUUUAAGCGUGUAGGCUGGUUUUCCAGGCAAAUCCGGAAAAUCAAGGCUGAGGCGUGAUGACGAGGCACUACGGUGCUGAAGCAACAAAUGCCCUGCUUCCAGGAAAAGCCUCUAAGCAUCAGGUAACAUCAAAUCGUACCCCAAACCGACACAGGUGGUCAGGUAGAGAAUACCAAGGCGCUUGAGAGAACUCGGGUGAAGGAACUAGGCAAAAUGGUGCCGUAACUUCGGGAGAAGGCACGCUGAUAUGUAGGUGAAGCGACUUGCUCGUGGAGCUGAAAUCAGUCGAAGAUACCAGCUGGCUGCAACUGUUUAUUAAAAACACAGCACUGUGCAAACACGAAAGUGGACGUAUACGGUGUGACGCCUGCCCGGUGCCGGAAGGUUAAUUGAUGGGGUCAGCGCAAGCGAAGCUCUUGAUCGAAGCCCCGGUAAACGGCGGCCGUAACUAUAACGGUCCUAAGGUAGCGAAAUUCCUUGUCGGGUAAGUUCCGACCUGCACGAAUGGCGUAAUGAUGGCCAGGCUGUCUCCACCCGAGACUCAGUGAAAUUGAACUCGCUGUGAAGAUGCAGUGUACCCGCGGCAAGACGGAAAGACCCCGUGAACCUUUACUAUAGCUUGACACUGAACAUUGAGCCUUGAUGUGUAGGAUAGGUGGGAGGCUUUGAAGUGUGG
RNAcentral lists this ribosomal RNA (2090 nucleotides) under Escherichia coli. RNAcentral describes it as "partial 23S ribosomal RNA". It matches the Rfam family "Bacterial large subunit ribosomal RNA", at positions 52 to 2167 of the family's 2925-position model. Lineage: Bacteria; Pseudomonadati; Pseudomonadota; Gammaproteobacteria; Enterobacterales; Enterobacteriaceae. The record is from RNAcentral.